CACGUAGGGAGCAAGCGUUGUCCGGAAUUACUGGGCGCAAAGGGCGCGUAGGCGGGAAUUUAAGUUGGAUGUGAAAACUAUGGGCUCAACCCGUAGCCUGCAUCCAAAACUGGAUUUCUUGAGGGCAGGAGAGGAAAGUGGAAUUCCUAGUGUAGCGGUGAAAUGCGUAGAUAUUAGGAGGAACACCAGUGGCGAAGGCGACUUUCUGGACUGUACCUGACGCUGAGGCGCGAAAGCGUGGGGAGCGAACAGG
This 253-nucleotide ribosomal RNA is filed under the name uncultured bacterium. RNAcentral's name for it is "partial 16S ribosomal RNA". It matches the Rfam family "Bacterial small subunit ribosomal RNA", at positions 524 to 776 of the family's 1533-position model. The record is from RNAcentral.